GGGGAUGUAGCUCAGUUGGCUAGAGCAUUAGAUUUGCAUUCUAAGGGUCGUGGGUUCGACUCCCUCCAUCUCCA
This 74-nucleotide transfer RNA is filed under the name archaeon. RNAcentral describes it as "tRNA-Ala". It matches the Rfam family "tRNA". Rfam says of the family: Transfer RNA (tRNA) molecules are approximately 80 nucleotides in length. Their secondary structure includes four short double-helical elements and three loops (D, anti-codon, and T loops). Further hydrogen bonds mediate the characteristic L-shaped molecular structure. tRNAs have two regions of fundamental functional importance: the anti-codon, which is responsible for specific mRNA codon recognition, and the 3' end, to which the tRNAs corresponding amino acid is attached (by aminoacyl-tRNA synthetases). tRNAs cope with the degeneracy of the genetic code in two manners: having more than one tRNA (with a specific anti-codon) for a particular amino acid; and 'wobble' base-pairing, i.e. permitting non-standard base-pairing at the 3rd anti-codon position. The record is from RNAcentral.